RNAcentral lists this ribosomal RNA (512 nucleotides) under Acmocera conjux. RNAcentral's name for it is "partial large subunit ribosomal RNA". The stretch from base 383 to 512 matches the Rfam family "Bacterial large subunit ribosomal RNA", at positions 2473 to 2603 of the family's 2925-position model. Lineage: Eukaryota; Metazoa; Arthropoda; Insecta; Coleoptera; Cerambycidae. The record is from RNAcentral.
GGCCUUUUGAAAGUUAAUUUAAGGUCUAAUCUGCCCACUGAAAAUUAAAUGGCCGCGGUAUUUUGACCGUGCUAAGGUAGCAUAAUCAUUAGUUUUUUAAUUGAAAGCUGGAAUGAAUGAUUGGAUAAGAAAAUAACUGUCUUUAUUUAAAUUUUUAUGAAUUUUAUUUUUAAGUUAAAAAGCUUAAAUAAUUUUAAUAGACGAGAAGACCCUAUAGAGUUUUAUAAAUUUUUUAUUUUAAUCUUUUAGAAUUAAAAAUAUAAAAUAAAAAAUUUAUUUAAUUGGGGUGAUUGAAAAAUUUAUUAAACUUUUUUUUAAUAAUUACAUUAAUUUAUGAAUAAUUGAUCCAUUAAUUGUGAUUAUAAGAUUAAAUUACCUUAGGGAUAACAGCGUAAUUUUAUUUGAUAGUUCAAAUUAAAAAUAAAGUUUGCGACCUCGAUGUUGGAUUAAAAUUUAUUUUUGGUGUAGAAGCUAAAAUAUUAGGUCUGUUCGACCUUUAAAAUUUUACAUGA